CCUACGGGAGGCAGCAGUGAGGAAUAUUGGUCAAUGGGAGAGAGCCUGAACCAGCCAAGCCGCGUGAGGGAAGAAGGUACUAUGGGUUGUAAACCUCUUUUGUCGGAGAACAAAAGCCGGGACGAGUCCCGGACUGAGGGUAUCUGAAGAAAAAGCAUCGGCUAACUCCGUGCCAGCAGCCGCGGUAAUACGGAGGAUGCGAGCGUUAUCCGGAUUUAUUGGGUUUAAAGGGUGCGUAGGCGGUCCGUUAAGUCAGCGGUAAAAGUGCGGGGCUCAACCCCGUCGAGCCGUUGAAACUGGCGGACUUGAGUUGGCGAGAAGUACGCGGAAUGCGCGGUGUAGUGGUGAAAUGCAUAGAUAUCGCGCAGAACCCCGAUUGCGAAGGCAGCGUACCGGCGCCAGACUGACGCUGAGGCACGAAAGCGUGGGUAUCGAACAGGAUUAGAUACCCGUGUAGUC
This 459-nucleotide ribosomal RNA is filed under the name uncultured bacterium. Its description in RNAcentral is "partial 16S ribosomal RNA". It matches the Rfam family "Bacterial small subunit ribosomal RNA", at positions 338 to 795 of the family's 1533-position model. The record is from RNAcentral.